UCCGCGAGGUGACUGAGUGCAACAUAGAG
Molecule: non-coding RNA, 29 nt
Filed under: Homo sapiens (human)
Lineage: Eukaryota; Metazoa; Chordata; Mammalia; Primates; Hominidae
Source: RNAcentral